Molecule: ribosomal RNA, 468 nt
Filed under: uncultured bacterium
Lineage: Bacteria
Description: partial 16S ribosomal RNA
Rfam family: Bacterial small subunit ribosomal RNA
Source: RNAcentral
GACGAACGCUGGCGGCGUGCUUAACACAUGCAAGUCGAACGGAAAGGCCCUGCUUUUGUGGGGUGCUCGAGUGGCGAACGGGUGAGUAACACGUGAGUAACCUGCCCUUGACUUUGGGAUAACUUCAGGAAACUGGGGCUAAUACCGGAUAGGAGCUCCUGCUGCUUGGUGGGGGUGGGAAAGUUUCGGCGGUUGGGGAUGGACUCGCGGCUUUUCAGCUUUUUGGUGGGGUAGUGGCUUACCAAGGCUUUGACGGGUAGCCGGCCUGAGAGGGUGACCGGCCACAUUGGGACUGAGAUACGGGCCAGACGCCUGCGGGAGGCAGCAGUGGGGAAUAUUGCAAAAUGGGCGGAAGCCUGAUGCAGCAACGCCGCGUGCGGGAUGACGGCCUUCGGGUUGUAAACCGCUUUCGCCUGUGACGAAGCGUGAGUGACGGUAAUGGGUAAAGAAGCACCGGCUAACUACGUG